UCGUUGAAAGCCGGCCCUUUUUUAUGUAGGUUUCAUCGCCGCAUGGUUGGUUCGUGCUACGCCAGCAUAUAAUGUCACGACGCGUCGUCGUGUUUUUGCGUGGUUCGAACGUGUACUUUCGCGAUUCUAAACCGAACGAACAGUACGGUAACACCUGAGAAAUUCGGACUGCUAACGGCAGUCUGUGUGUCUGUUGACAACCCUCUCUGGGUUUCGCGCGGGCCUGAGCUGUCUCUGUCCCUUUCGUCACCAUCAUGUCAACCACGUCGAUAUUGAAGAAACGUAGUCCGUCGACAUCGACCGUCGUGGUCGAGAACCGCGUGGGAUUCAAGCUGCCUUCCGCCGACGAGAUUGACGUCCAGGUGGCUUUCACGGAAGCCAACAAGUCGAACGUCAUGGACAGCAACUACAGGCAGCUGAUCAGUGUCCUCAAGUCGGCUGACACCGACGAUGAAGCGCUGGUGAGGUUGCUGAAACGCAUCAAGAACUCUGCACCGCUGAUUGAAAGGCACAAUGACGAAGUGCUGGAUUGCGUUCUGAGAAUCAACCUGCUCAGGAGGAAUGUUCACGUCAUAGACGCAUUUUCACAGCUAGCCUGCGAUAUGGUCUUCAUCCACCCCGUGAUCCUGAGGAACAUCGUCGUAGCUCUCCUAGGCACCUUCAUGUCUCCAGAAGCCACCUCAAAGGACACACCAGAGCGGGAAGAAAAAUUCCAGAGGCUUCACGCACUUCUCCGGCUGCUCUUCAAGCUUGUGCCAACGGCUCCCGCACGGCUGAUUGAGAUUCUCGCCGAGGUGUUUCCCUACAUGAAACGCGAGGGCGCCCAGCAGGCAUCCCUCGUGGGUCAUCUUCUGCGCCUGACCUCCUACAUCCCCGACCAUAGGCUGGAGUUGCUGCAGCUGCUCACCCACAAGGCGUUGCAGAUUGACCUGCACUGCCCCAAGGAUGAAAUAAAUGAAGCUGAGCUCGAAGACGAGGACGAUGCCAUGGAAGGAGGCGACAUUUUUGAAAUGGAAAAAGUCAACGGAACCGACUCGGAACGUAUGCAGCAUCCCCUUGCCGACAUUCUGGACCAGGUUCUCAAUCAGUUCUACCUGCAUUUUCAACAACACUGCAAUGCCAAAGAUGGUGAGCUGUCCAAGCUGGACUGGGAGAAGACUAAAGUGCUCUUCAAGGACUUCCUGACCAUCUUCGACAAGAUAGUCCUGCCGACGCACAAGUGCUGCCACGUCCAGUUCCUCCUCUUCUACCUGUGCAGCUUCCGGCCCGCGGCCCUGGCAGUUGCAUUCCUGGACUACCUCUGGAAGAAAGUCCAGAACCCGGCCACAUCGUGCAUCGUGCGGCAAGCGUCGGCAUUCUACAUCGGGAGCUUUCUGGCCCGGGCGAAAUAUGUGCCUCUCAGCACGGUGUGCGACUCUCUGUCCUUGAUGUGCCAAUGGGCACACGGCUACAUGGCCUCGCUGAACGACGGCGGAUUCUGUCAACCGCAGCACGAUGUCCAGCGGCACGGGACCUUCUACGCCGUCUGCCAGACGGUCUUCUACGUGUUUGCCUUCCACCACAAGGGCAUUGCAGAUGGCGAGAAAGGCCUGCAGUACCUGCGCGACCUGAACUUGGAGGCCCUCGUGAUGUGCCCGCUGAACCCCCUGAAGGCCUGCCUGCCCGGCGUGGUCAAGCAGUUCGCCUCGAUAGCACGCCACUACCAGCUUGUCUACUGCUACAGUGUCAUCGAGCGCAACCAGCGUCUUGCCCUGCCCACGGCCGGCGGGGACAGCGCACCGUACGGGGACACAGUCCUCGAUGCAUUCUUCCCGUUUGACCCCUAUGUGCUGAAGCGCACUGGCAAAUGGAUUGAUCCCCUCUACAGGAAGUUCGAGAAGUCUGACGACGAUGACGACGCAGACUUGGAUGACGAACCCGAGUGAAAAAUGCACGAGUACGACACGGACAGCGUUCUGCCACGUGCGACUGCCGGGGAAGACUGGCAGCGCCGCCUGCUUAGCGGCACAGCACCGUAGUCUCGGUCCUGGGACGAGCAAAAGUGCAAGCAGCACGGUCUGCUCGGUGCAUGGAUGAUGACGACGAACUGAUGUGCAAGUCGCCCAAGUCACCGAGCUGCGUCGCCGAAAUGUUCAGUUACGGCACGUCGCCUGGCUUCAAGCGCAGUCUAUCUUUUGGUCACCACCGAUAGUUCGGAAGCUAGUAGCGUAAUUAAAGAAAUCUGGGAUUUAAUGUUAGACGCUACCAGUGCGAUGCAGAGGGGUGGCUUUUAAUCUUUUCUUGCUACUUUUGAUGCCACCACAGCGAUACUGCCACUCGCGGACAAAAGGUCGGAAGGAAGUGUUUGACUUCUAAUCGCAGCAUCACGCAAAGACUAUGGGGAUGUCACUCGUCUAGGUUCUUCUGUGAUGGGAAAUGGCUAACGACAGUCUCCUCUGCUACUCUGAAGUGCUAUAGCUUUAAUUCUUUGGAUAUUUAUAGGAAGUAAAAUGUAAAUAUGGAAGCAAGUAAUGGUUGAGCUGUCAUUAAAGGUACGGGAAGGGUCAGAAGUUUACGGACACUCGAUCUGAGAAGACGAAUAUUUUCUGUGCUUCGGCAUGCAGCCUGGAUUUUAAACGCUUACUUGUGCCAGUGUAUGCGACCGAGGCAGUGUAGUACUGUUAUAAUGGCUGCAAGCCGAGAAGCUAGGCUGAGGUUAGACUUUUUUUUUCGCAGAACCUGAAUGCUGUAAACUUCUUACCCUGCCUGUACAUCUCCAUUCUUUUAAACGCUAAAUCCACGCAUUCUAUGAACUAAAGGAUUUUGUACAGCGAAUGUGGACAUGACAUUACUUGGUGAUUUGUAUAUUACCUGCUGGCCAAGCCCUUGUAAAUUUAAAAUCAUAUUGCGAAAUAAAU
Dermacentor silvarum is the source of this 2897-nucleotide RNA transcript. It is a transcript of the gene named RNA polymerase I-specific transcription initiation factor RRN3-like, with no coding region annotated. The transcript is spliced from 14 exons. Lineage: Eukaryota; Metazoa; Arthropoda; Arachnida; Ixodida; Ixodidae. The record is from RefSeq and is a predicted model, not a curated record.